This 245-nucleotide ribosomal RNA is filed under the name uncultured Peptostreptococcus sp. RNAcentral's name for it is "partial 16S ribosomal RNA". It matches the Rfam family "Bacterial small subunit ribosomal RNA", at positions 111 to 354 of the family's 1533-position model. The record is from RNAcentral. Lineage: Bacteria; Bacillati; Bacillota; Clostridia; Peptostreptococcales; Peptostreptococcaceae.
UAACGCGUGGGUAACCUGCCCUAUACACAUGGAUAACAUACUGAAAAGUUUACUAAUACAUGAUAAUAUAUAUUUACGGCAUCGUAGAUAUAUCAAAGUGUUAGCGGUAUAGGAUGGACCCGCGUCUGAUUAGCUAGUUGGUGAGAUAACUGCCCACCAAGGCGACGAUCAGUAGCCGACCUGAGAGGGUGAUCGGCCACAUUGGAACUGAGACACGGUCCAAACUCCUACGGGAGGCAGCAGGC